UGGCGAACGGGUGAGUAACACGUGGUAGUCUGCCCUGCACUCUGGGAUAAGCCUGGGAAACUGGGUCUAAUACUGGAUAUGACCUUUCUCCUUAUGGGGUUUGGUGGAAAGUUUUUCGGUGUAGGAUGAGCCCGCGGCCUAUCAGCUUGUUGGUGGGGUGAUGGCCUACCAAGGCGACGACGGGUAGCCGGCCUGAGAGGGUGAUCGGCCACAUUGGGACUGAGAUACGGCCCAG
RNAcentral lists this ribosomal RNA (235 nucleotides) under uncultured Actinomycetales bacterium. RNAcentral describes it as "partial 16S ribosomal RNA". It matches the Rfam family "Bacterial small subunit ribosomal RNA", at positions 96 to 334 of the family's 1533-position model. The record is from RNAcentral. Lineage: Bacteria; Bacillati; Actinomycetota; Actinomycetes; Actinomycetales.